This 383-nucleotide ribosomal RNA is filed under the name uncultured bacterium. RNAcentral's name for it is "bacterial SSU rRNA". It matches the Rfam family "Bacterial small subunit ribosomal RNA", at positions 28 to 418 of the family's 1533-position model. The record is from RNAcentral.
GACGAACGCUGGCGGCGUGCUUAACACAUGCAAGUGGAGCGACGAACCGGGGCUUGCCCCGGGGCAGAGCCGCGAACGGGUGAGUAACACGUGGGUUACCUACCCCAAUGACCGGGACAACCCGAGGAAACUCGGGCUAAUACCGGAUGUGGUCUUCGGACGAAAGGAAGCUUCGGCCUCCGCAUUGGGAUGGGCCCGCGGCGCAUUAGCUUGUUGGUGGGGUAACGGCCUACCAAGGCGACGAUGCGUAGCUGGUCNGAGAGGACGAUCAGCCACACUGGGACUGAGACACGGCCCAGACUCCUACGGGAGGCAGCAGUGGGGAAUCUUGCGCAAUGCGCGAAAGCGUGACGCAGCAACGCCGCGUGGGGGAAGAAGGCCUU